CCCUUAGAUGUUCUGGGCCACACGCGCGCUACACUGACGAAUGCAACGAGCUUAUAACCUUGGCCGAAAGGUCUGGGUAAUCUCCAAAUUUCGUCGUGAUGGGGAUAGAUUAUUGCAAUUAUUAAUCUUCAACGAGGAAUGCCUAGUAAGCGCAAGUCAUCAGCUUGCGUUGAUUACGUCCCUGCCCUUUGUACACACCGCCCGUCGCUCCUACCGAUUGAAUGGUCCGGUGAAGCGUUCGGACCGUGGCCUUUGGACGGUUCGCCGUCUGUUGGCUGCGGGAAGUUCGUUAAACCUUAUCAUUUAGAGGAAGGAGGAGUCGUANCA
Molecule: ribosomal RNA, 327 nt
Filed under: uncultured eukaryote
Lineage: Eukaryota
Description: partial 18S ribosomal RNA
Rfam family: Eukaryotic small subunit ribosomal RNA
Source: RNAcentral